ACACCUCAACUCCCGUGGUUCGCCAGGGUGAGCUUGGACUCUCUGGGGGUUUUGCUGGCUUUACAGCCGGCUCCUCUCAAAUGGAUCAGCUUGCCAGUGUUUUGGUGGGAUCCCAGGUGUGAUAACUAUCUACGCUUGUGGCUUCCUGUCGAGCAACCUUCAGCGAUGAGGGUUCGCUGGGGCUCAUAAACGUCUCUCUUGUGGAGACAGGUUUUUGAA
Molecule: unclassified non-coding RNA, 219 nt
Filed under: uncultured Tomentella
Lineage: Eukaryota; Fungi; Basidiomycota; Agaricomycetes; Thelephorales; Thelephoraceae
Description: sequence contains ITS2
Source: RNAcentral